GUUUGCAAUAGCUUGGAGCUGCGCCUGAACCAGUGCUAACAUCUGCCAUCAGUUUGAUCUAAAAGAAGAGAAACCCAUAGUUAACCCCAGCAGUGGACCAAUCCAGCUGUACUGAGGAAUGCUGCUUCAACCCAAUGUGAGACAGGAGCUGGAAUUCCGGAAAGGCCCUGCAGGUGUCAGAAGGCCACACAUGCUUCCAUUCAAUGUCAGUCCCAGAAACUCUUCCCUGCCUGAUGUCUGGAGUGGGAUCCUCAGCUAUCCUGGGAGAUGAUGACGUUCCAGCAGGCAUCCAUGGGACUUUCACACUUCUUAUGACUGAAACACCUUCAGAAAUCCCAUCCUUAGCAUUCCUCAUUACCGUCUCAUUUCCAGAAGUGCUUAGCAGCUUUGCCUGGGCUUUACUGCUGGAUAUCACUUGGGUGAAAUCUUCUCAAUCUCCUCCCUUAAUGAUGGUAAGCACUGAGGGAGCUGUGCUGAGGACACUUAGAACCAGGGCUGACAAUUGUGGAUUACAUCUUUGAAACACCUGCCAAAAAACAUUGAGUAGAGAUGAAG
Molecule: long non-coding RNA, 555 nt
Organism: Gallus gallus (chicken)
Lineage: Eukaryota; Metazoa; Chordata; Aves; Galliformes; Phasianidae
Source: Ensembl